This 645-nucleotide ribosomal RNA is filed under the name Auricularia auricula-judae (jelly ear fungus). Its description in RNAcentral is "LSU rRNA". It matches the Rfam family "Eukaryotic large subunit ribosomal RNA", at positions 37 to 667 of the family's 3401-position model. The record is from RNAcentral. Lineage: Eukaryota; Fungi; Basidiomycota; Agaricomycetes; Auriculariales; Auriculariaceae.
AGCAUAUCAAUAAGCGGAGGAAAAGAAACUAACAAGGAUUCCCCUAGUAACGGCGAGUGAAGCGGGAAGAGCUCAAAUUUGAAAUCUGGCGGUCUAAGGCCGUCCGAGUUGUAAUCUAGAGAGGUGUUUUCUGUGCCGGACCGUGUACAAGUCCCUUGGAACAGGGCGUCAUAGAGGGUGAGAAUCCCGUCCAUGACACGGACUACCGGUGCUCUGUGAUACACCUUCAAAGAGUCGAGUUGUUUGGGAAUGCAGCUCAAAAUGGGUGGUAAAUUCCAUCUAAAGCUAAAUACAGGCGAGAGACCGAUAGCGAACAAGUACCGUGAGGGAAAGAUGAAAAGAACUUUGGAAAGAGAGUUAAACAGUACGUGAAAUUGUUGAAAGGGAAACGCUUGAAGUCAGUCGCGUCCGCCGGGACUCAGCCUUGCUUUUGCUUGGUGCACUUCUCGGUGGAUGGGCCAGCAUCGAUUUUGAUCGCCGGAAAAGGGCGGGAGGAAUGUGGCAGCUUGCUGUGUUAUAGCCUCUCGUCGUACACGGUGGUCGGGAUCGAGGACUGCAGCACGCCUUUGGUCGGGGUUCGCCCACGCCACUGUGCUUAGGAUGCUGGCGUAAUGGCUUUAAACGACCCGUCUUGAAACACGGACC